Non-coding RNA from Lentinula edodes (shiitake mushroom), 88 nucleotides. NCBI's taxonomy places the organism in Eukaryota, Fungi, Basidiomycota, Agaricomycetes, Agaricales, Omphalotaceae. The record is from Rfam.
CCGACCAUAGCUCAGUUGGAAGAGCGCGAGACUGUAAUUGGAAAACUUUGAUAUCUUGAGGUCGCCUGUUCGAACCAGGCUGGUCGGA